Molecule: long non-coding RNA, 201 nt
Filed under: Lathyrus oleraceus (garden pea)
Lineage: Eukaryota; Viridiplantae; Streptophyta; Magnoliopsida; Fabales; Fabaceae
Description: Pisum sativum (pea) long non-coding RNA (PSAT_LNC011404)
Source: RNAcentral
NUGGUUCACCAACAUCAUUAUCAAUUGAAAUUCCAGCAAACCAACAACUAACAUGGCAAUGGUAGUGUUCAUACAACAAAACAGCCAACAGCAUGUAAGAUCAAUCAUGGCACGAAACAUCAUCAUUGAGCAUACAAUAACCAACAUUAGAACAAGCAUACUCAUGGAGAAAUCUGGGGAGAGUUCUGUUCUAUGGUUUUA